Molecule: long non-coding RNA, 715 nt
Organism: Vidua macroura (Pin-tailed whydah)
Lineage: Eukaryota; Metazoa; Chordata; Aves; Passeriformes; Viduidae
Exons: 5
Source: RefSeq, a predicted model, not a curated record
CGGACGAACGAAGCCAAGUAUGGCCGAACGCAGCGAGCGGGCCUGGCCCAGCCGCUGCUCGGGAAAGCGGCUGCCGCCUCACGUUACACACGGGCAGCCGCUCACGGGCAGCCGCCGCCUCCGCGUUCGGGGCGCCGGGACGGAGAGCGGCGGGAGCGCGGUCCCCGCCUCUCCCGGGGCAGCACCGGGCUCGGAUUCUCGUACAGAGCCUCGAGCGGUGAAGGCGGGAAGCCCGCACAGGUGGGCAGUUUUGCCAUAACUCUGUAUUAUUCCUAAUGGGGAUAGCAAGAACAAUUCCAUGAUCGGUUUUCUGGAAAUUUGACUAAUUUUAUUCCACGUAUGGGGAACCAAAGGACAAUAAUUCCAAGAGUAAUUGACCUGAAAACAAAAAGGAUGCAUACUUUUAAAAUAUUUCAUCAUACCAGCCUGUGCAAAGUGGAAGAGUAGAAACAAAGUGGACCGAGAUAUACUAAUAUAGAAUGAGGCUCUUGAGAAACAAAUGUGAUCAUAAGAACAGCUGUCAGAGUCCUUUUGGGAAACCUGUAGUUCUGUUUGUGGGACUGAACCAUGAGGCACACACCAAACCUAGAGACAAGACAUUCCUGUGCCAGUAUCCGCAUUCUCCCUGUGAGGAAGUGGUCAAAGCUGGCCUGACGCUCUAAGAGCAACUCAUAGAACAUGCACCAGCAGUAUCUGAGACGGAACACAAAUGAUG